Molecule: transfer RNA, 86 nt
Filed under: compost metagenome
Description: tRNA-Trp
Rfam family: tRNA
About the family: Transfer RNA (tRNA) molecules are approximately 80 nucleotides in length. Their secondary structure includes four short double-helical elements and three loops (D, anti-codon, and T loops). Further hydrogen bonds mediate the characteristic L-shaped molecular structure. tRNAs have two regions of fundamental functional importance: the anti-codon, which is responsible for specific mRNA codon recognition, and the 3' end, to which the tRNAs corresponding amino acid is attached (by aminoacyl-tRNA synthetases). tRNAs cope with the degeneracy of the genetic code in two manners: having more than one tRNA (with a specific anti-codon) for a particular amino acid; and 'wobble' base-pairing, i.e. permitting non-standard base-pairing at the 3rd anti-codon position.
Source: RNAcentral
ACGGAAAUCGCAUAGCGGCGAUUGCAUCGGCCUCCAAAGCCGACGACGCAAGUCCACCCUAGGUUCGAGUCCUAGUUUCCGUGCCA